Molecule: ribosomal RNA, 252 nt
Filed under: uncultured bacterium
Lineage: Bacteria
Description: partial 16S ribosomal RNA
Rfam family: Bacterial small subunit ribosomal RNA
Source: RNAcentral
UACGUAGGUCCCGAGCGUUGUCCGGAUUUAUUGGGCGCAAAGCGAGCGCAGGUGGUUUAUUAAGUCUGGUGUAAAAGGCAGUGGCUCAACCAUUGUAUGCAUUGGAAACUGGUAGACUUGAGUGCAGGAGAGGAGAGUGGAAUUCCAUGUGUAGCGGUGAAAUGCGUAGAUAUAUGGAGGAACACCGGUGGCGAAAGCGGCUCUCUGGCCUGUAACUGACACUGAGGCUCGAAAGCGUGGGGAGCAAACAGG